AUCCUGUGGCCCAGUAGCAGCUAUUAAUACCACCCUCGUCCCAGCUUCUAUUUUAGGGUAGGGGCUGUUGGGGUAGGGGCAAGCAGCAGGGAGCAAGGCAGGGAUUGGGGGCACAGAGACACAGACACAGAACACUGGGUCUGGACUCACUUCCGUGUGAUAAGGCAAUUAUUCAACCUGGACUAUAUUCAGAAGGUUAAUUAAUACAGUUUUGGAUGUAUAUUUUGUUUGAUCCUAUGACACUGGAUAACCUUUUCCAUCAUUUGUUGUUGACACGUCUUGGGAACGUAUUGACAGCAGCUUUCCUUUCUUGAGGAGACGCACACGGAGAUGUACUGUACGUGAAUUCUCCUCAGAUACACAUACUAUACGUGUAUCUUUCUCCCCUAUUUAUGUUAACAGAAGGUAAGAGCAGAGAGAGGGGAGAAUUCAAGGUGGCUGAUUUGGUGGAAUGGCACUAUCUGGACACUUGAUUGAUUGUGAGGAGAAAAUUCAUGGGUAUUGUGUCCCUAAAGUUUUUGGGUGAAGCCCGGAUACCUGAAUAGAAAAUGGGGUGGGAGUGUCUGGUUUGAUGAAUCAUGCAUGUGUUUUUGUGUGUUAGAGAUCAUGUCUCCCUUCUCUCAUUGAAAUAAUAGUGCUUGCCUGUCAAUGCCACCAUGCCAAUAUGCCAAUAUACAACUUAGUGUGCUUAAAGCAUUCUUGUACAUUAUAUCAACUAGGCUGCAUGACUGAAACGGCUUCUCAUUUUGGCUAGACUUGUGGAAACAUUCCCAGUGAGACAAAGGGCCUGUUCUCAAUCACCUCUCCCCUGGCCCUGGCCCUGAGUCCAAAUUCCAACUUCCUGAUAACAGUUUUAUUUUGAUUAUCAGUAAUAAUAUUUAGAAACCUGGUGUCCUCUUCUCUCUCCCUCCUUCCCUCCAGGGAUUAUGGCGAAACAACCUCCAUCCCCUACCACUCCAGUAUUUUUUACCCGGAUCAGUGAUCGGGACCUGACUGAGAUCGAGCUACAUUCCGUGGAGUCCAUCAACGACCUGCACCGCACCCAUCCAGAGCACAACCACAAAGGCAGCAGACGACCUCCCCUUCCUCCUGCUCCCUCCACCAAUGGGAACCUCCAUCUCCGGGACAGACCAGUUGUCUAUCAGACAGGGCAUCCAAUGAGAAGCCGAUGGCAGAGAAUGCUCCGAGACCUGUUGAUGCCCACCUCGUUUCGAUACACCAUGGGGUGUGUAGUGACAUCACUGACGCUGUUGACGCUAUUUCUUAUCUUCUAUCUCUUAGGUAACGUUAUUCACUUACUCUUUCUCAAUCUUGAUCUGAAAUCCAACCAGGCCUCAACAUUUUUCCCAUCCCUUUCUGUGACUGUGUUUCUGCGUUCCCCCUCCAGUGCAGCAGGGCAGCACUCUCCGGUCCCUAACGGAAGCAGUGAGGGAGAGACAGGCUGUGGCCCUAGAGGUCUCCCAGCUCAUCCAGGAGCUGCAGGCGCUGCGCCACAACCUCACAGCCAUCACGGGAGGAUCCUGAGGAGCAGAGGUCACGGAGAGGAACACCCUUCACCCCUGGACCCUGAAAGCCCCGUCCUAGUGGCCCCUGAACACUAA
RNAcentral lists this long non-coding RNA (1601 nucleotides) under Oncorhynchus kisutch (coho salmon). Its description in RNAcentral is "lncRNA (ENSOKIG00005049515.1)". The record is from RNAcentral. Lineage: Eukaryota; Metazoa; Chordata; Actinopteri; Salmoniformes; Salmonidae.